UACAGAGGUCUCAAGCGUUGUCCGGAUUUAUUGGGCGUAAAGAGCUCGUAGGUGGUUCGGUAAGUCAGGUGUGAAACCUCCAGGCUCAACCUGGAGACGCCACUUGAUACUGCUGUGACUGGAGUCCGGUAGGGGAGCGUGGAAUUCCAGGUGUAGCGGUGAAAUGCGUAGAUAUCUGGAAGAACACCGGUGGCGAAGGCGGUCAACUGGCCCUCAAC
Molecule: ribosomal RNA, 218 nt
Filed under: uncultured bacterium
Lineage: Bacteria
Description: partial 16S ribosomal RNA
Rfam family: Bacterial small subunit ribosomal RNA
Source: RNAcentral